Choloepus didactylus (southern two-toed sloth) is the source of this 165-nucleotide small nuclear RNA. RefSeq annotates it as U1 spliceosomal RNA. The transcript has a single exon. Lineage: Eukaryota; Metazoa; Chordata; Mammalia; Pilosa; Megalonychidae. The record is from RefSeq and is a predicted model, not a curated record.
AUACUUACCUGGCAGGGGAGAAGCCACCAUCACGAAGGUGGAUUUCCCCAGGCAGGCCCUUAUCCAUUGCACUCUGUAUGUGCUGACCGCUGCGAUUUUCCCAAAUGUGGGAAAUCUGACUGCAUAAUUUGUGGUAGUGGCGGACUGCAUUCUUGCUUUCCCCGG